Long non-coding RNA from Culex quinquefasciatus (southern house mosquito), 1031 nucleotides. RefSeq lists it as uncharacterized. NCBI's taxonomy places the organism in Eukaryota, Metazoa, Arthropoda, Insecta, Diptera, Culicidae. The transcript is spliced from 3 exons. The record is from RefSeq and is a predicted model, not a curated record.
UUCUCAUUUUACUCUCUCAGUAGCUUAACCAAUCAGAAGUCCCGUUCUACGCAAGUCGCACAUGAUCGUAUAAAAUUGCGUUCAUACAAAGACGAGGUUAACUUACAUGUUGGUCCAAAAAGGGAAGCUCUUUCUUUCUGGUGGAGUACUUUGACCUGUGAACAAGUCAUUUUUAUAAAGUGGAGUGCAAAUUAAAAAAAACGAGAACUUUGUUGAGAGUGCGCUCUUUCUCAACUUUUUUUGAAUUGAUUUUGUCAAAUGACAAGUGAAAUUUGCUGCUGGAAUUAAGAAUAUUUUGGAAACUUGGUAUCAGGUGCCCUAGUUAACGUGGGCAAGUUGUCUGGGCUGGAAGCCAUUGUGAAGCCCAUCGAAAUUAGAGGUUAGGCACACCGCGUGCUCGGUCAGUGACGAAACUCGUCCGGAAUCGUUCGGAAUCGUCGCUAGCGUCAGGAUUCGUUUGGGAUCAUCCUGUUUCGCUGAGGGUUAAAGCCAGCAGCAAGCCAGGGUUGUGCUAUUUACCGGUUGCGGACGCAGCCAUUGUGAUCUAGUACUUCGGUACGCUAGUGGCGCACACGUCACUUCCAGUGGGUUGUCAGCGGCACCGCUUUACGUCAACACAAAGCCGUACCGCACCGACGAAGUCGGGACGCAAACCUCGUUUAAGCCAAGACGUGCGACACCGAGCCCGUUACACCGCUCGGAAAACUCCACCGACGCCCGGGGACGCCUUUACCCCGAUGAUCUGUCCACGCACGAGGGCCCAUUGACCACUGCCAGGAUUCUGGCCAUCCCAAAACCCGUUACAAACCUUGAGCACAAACCCUAGGCCGCCCUCCGAGAAGUCUGCACGUGGAUGUAAGCAGCCCGCCGCAUGAGACACGUGCGUCAAGAGGUGCGUGAAACCGAUCGAGCCAACCGAACGAGACAACGAACGUGCGCAGCUACGUGGGAUCGCCGUGGGACAUCCGGUAGGACCGACGAACAACUAUAAGGUCAGAUCUAUCUUUUUGCAUUAUAUAAACGCCCCUGUU